Molecule: ribosomal RNA, 443 nt
Filed under: uncultured bacterium
Lineage: Bacteria
Description: partial 16S ribosomal RNA
Rfam family: Bacterial small subunit ribosomal RNA
Source: RNAcentral
CCUACGGGUGGCAGCAGUGGGGAAUCUUGGGCAAUGGGCGCAAGCCUGACCCAGCAACGCCGCGUGAAGGAAGAAGGCUUUCGGGUUGUAAACUUCUUUUGUCAGGGACGAAGCAAGUGACGGUACCUGACGAAUAAGCCACGGCUAACUACGUACCAGCAGCCGCGGUAAUACGUAGGUGGCAAGCGUUAUCCGGAUUUAUUGGGUGUAAAGGGCGUGUAGGCGGGAAUGCAAGUCAGAUGUGAAAACUAUGGGCUCAACCCAUAGCCUGCAUUGGAAACUGUAUUACUUGAGUGCUGGAGAGGCAAUCGGAACUCCGUGUGUAGCGGUGAAAUGCGUAGAUAUACGGAGGAACACCAGUGGCGAAGGCGGAUUGCUGGACAGUAACUGACGCUGAGGCGCGAAAGCGUGGGGAGCAAACAGGAUUAGAUACCCUAGUAGUC